Long non-coding RNA from Thamnophis elegans (Western terrestrial garter snake), 4596 nucleotides. RefSeq lists it as uncharacterized. NCBI's taxonomy places the organism in Eukaryota, Metazoa, Chordata, Lepidosauria, Squamata, Natricidae. The transcript is spliced from 4 exons. The record is from RefSeq and is a predicted model, not a curated record.
UGCUGUUCUUAGAGUUCGUUGGAUAUUGUGAUAAUGCUUUCUGGAUUCUUCCUUUUCCAACAGCCCAAGAUCCGCUGAAGUAGUUUAGUGACGGCCUAGAAUUCGGUUACCAUUUCCAAAUUUCGUCGGCCGCCGAAAAGAGUUGACGGAUUGCUUUCUGCACCUAGUAUUCAGUUCUUGUUGAGUUGGUACCGACACUAGCUGUUGUCGUAUGGGGAAAGCAGGGUGGCGGUUCGGGCAGACAGACCUGAAGAAAUAACUUAGGAGUAGGCGUGGUUAAUAUUAAUGUUAUAAUUAAAAAUAGAAUAUGCUUCAAGUGCUCAAAAUCUGUCAGAGCUACUUAUGAAAUAAAGGGAUUGUAUACUUUUUAGUAGAUCUUCACGAUUACGCAUAGGCGUAGAGAAAAACUCUCUGGGAUCGCUAGUAGGUCAAAAACGACUUUGAUCACAUAUUACCAAAUGCUAUUUAUUCUUGGUCGGGUUGCCCACAAGUUCAAAGUUAAUUUGAAAAAAAAAUGUUAGUGCCUACUAAAACAGACUUCCCAUGCCUGGCUGCCCCCCAGUUUUAUACUGAUGCAAUUAGGCUAACAAUCUGGAGGGCAAAAUCUUGGGACAAGCUGUUUCUUUACAUUCCUAACUCUCCACUGUUAACAAAAAUCUGAUUACUGUACACUCGAUUUUGCUUUUUUUUCUGGGCCUCUUGUUUUUUAAAAAUGUUAAAGCAAGUUGGGAAAUUUUCUUGGGGCAGCAUCACACUUUUUUGUAUUUGUAUCACUUUCUUGAUGCUGAAGCACGCUGGGAUGAAAAAUAAAUAUGGCAUCCCUACAUUCUUUUUCUUACAUAGCUUGUUUUAAAAAUGUUGGAAUUAUAAUUUUGUAUUACAUGAUGUUAUUUUCCUAAGCUUUUGUUUCUGGUCUAAAUCCAGUCUGUCCCUUAAUUUAAAAUUGGAUAAGGUGAUGGGAAUUAGGAUCACUAGGAAAUAGCUUCAUGUACAUGAUGUGAAUCUUAAGGUGAAUGUGAAGAAGCUCCUUACUACAAAGCCAUCAGAAGUGAUUGCUCUUUUCAGAGAAGACAGCUCUUAUUAAAACCCACAUUUAUAGUCUUGCAACAAAUGAAUGCAUUGAUUAGCAAGUACAAUCAAUCAAUGAAUGUCUUUUGCCCUUAAUCCCUUGCGGCUGAGCUGAGUUGUAAAUUUGUUGCCUUAGCAGCAUUAAAGCAAGCAAAUUUAUUGUCCUUUCUCUUGGGCAUUGAACUUCAAGAAGGUUGUUGAGACUUUGGAAAGAAAGCUGAGAAAAGCUAUGUGGCUGGAUAUUAUUUACUCUUUCUGUAUUUUGAAAUGGAAUUGCACUCAUUCCUGAAUAAAUAGAUGGCAUGCAUGCAUGCAUGCAUGCAUGCAUGUAUGCAUCUAUCUAUCUAUCUAUCUAUCUAUCUAUCUAUCUAUCUAUCUAUCUAUCUAUCUAUCUAUCUAUCUAUCUAUCUUAGAUUGUGUGCCUAGUAUAUAAAUGAAUCCUAUGAACAUUUCUAAAUUGACAUCCAACAGUAAUUGCUCCUUACUUCCUCACCCUGAAGAGGUGAGAACUCAAGUUCAUUUACUUGGAAGGAAAAUCUGAAAUGUUGAGUUUGAUUAGAUUGCUGCAUUUCUCAAGAAAGAAGAAACAAUGGGGGUCAUUGAAGGUGUUUUAAUUGAGUACACAAUAUAGCAUUUAUCAUAGUGAACUUUUUUUUCAGGUUAAGUUGGCUUAUCAAUUGUUUCAGUUGAGUGCAGUUGCUGAAGUCCAUGUUUCACAAACCUGCCUCUGCACGUAGAUUGCAUCACAUACUUUUUAAGGGCUAAAAUAUUUACUGCAUUACAGUGAGUACAAAUAAUAAACCUGUAUGUAGAAUAUGGCCAUUUUGUUUAUUGGAAAGAAGUAGGAUUCAUCACAAUUUGGUCUCAUUCAGCUUAUGUUUCCACCGAGCUUAUUUAUUUUUAGUUUCUUCCACUGAGAGAGAAAUGGAGAAAAAGAAAAGGCUGGUUGUUUCCACUUUUAAUUUUAAUCUUGUCUAGCUGUCAUUAUAUAGAAGAUAAUAUGUUCUCAACAAAACUUCUACUUCCCUUCAAGAUAUACUAAAUUAUAUAACCCUUUGGGUUUUGUAUUUAGUGUUGUGGAGAAACCCAGCCACCAUCUUAGUUGUUGAAUGAAUCUAGCUAUUAAGUUUUCUUUAUUUGAUUUAUUUAUACAUUGCACAUUAUAUUAAUAAAAACAAUGGUAUGCUAUUAAAGAAAGUUCAACUCAUUUUGUGAUUCAGUAUUUGAAUUACAUUUUUAACAUCCCCCCAUGGCAUAACCAUGGUAGCAGUAAAACACACCUUAGGUAUUUCCUUUCCAGCACUAGUUCUUCUUUUCUUUCUCCUCUUUCAUAAAGAUAUACCUGUUCCCAGCCAAGUUGACUUUUUUCUUCAUAAAACUUAUAUUACAAUGUUUUUCAGCAUCAUUGAUCCACAAAUAUUCAAACCUGUUUCUAUGUAUGCUUACCAUCAGGCAAAGCUCUUUGGCGUCAAAGGCAUUUCCCCGUUAACAUGAAUGAAAGAUAAAAUUGGCAAAGAUUUCUUUCCUUGUUCAUGAAUCCAAAUGAAAUUAGCCUUCUUCCUUUUUCUAAGUUCUUUGCAGCCAUCAGAAAUCUCAAAAGAAGAUUGUGGUUCUUAAUGUGAGAUGUGUUUUGGGGAAGGUUAAAAAAAGUUUUGCAGCAUUUUUAAAACCUUUUCAAAAUUGCAAAUCAGAUAAGAAAGGAAGUAUGCUACUUUGUUUUUUUUUUCUUUUGCCAGAGAGCUGGCAAAACAUUCUUUUUAAAAUGGCAAAUGGUUUUGUGGAUAUCUGAUUCAUCAUUUAGUGAGCUAUUUUUCCUCUUCAGGAUUUAAUGGACACUCUGACAUAGUAGCUCAGCAAAUUGAUGUCUGAGAACUUGUAAAUAACAAUUAAAGUUUUAUAAUUCAUAAUUAUAGUAUGGAUUCUGCAAUUCAGGAUUCAAGAAGUAAGUUUGAGUGCUGUUGCAGAGUUGGACAAGCAAAAGUUAAAGAGGUGAGUUGGUAUCUUUCAGUUCAAAACAAGAGAUGAACAACUUUUUUUUUAUCCUGCCACUUUAGUACAUAUAUAACACACAAAUUGGAAUCAAAGAAACAUUGCAGAUGGUUUGUUUUUUUAAUUUCCUUGCCUUUUUCCAGGGAUUGAAGGAAAGAGACAAAUCAGACUAGUCCAUUCCAUUGAAUACAUUUAUUUAAACUUUAACACUAACUUGCUCUCAAGUUUUAAAUCUCAUUGAACUGUUUUAUUGCAAACUUGUAAUAUCUACUCUGCUGGUAGCCAAAAGACACUACAGUUAGUUGAAAGUCACCAACCUACUUACUCCUGAAAUGAUAGCACAAUUUGAAGAGCUGACUUCCAUAUUUCAUCAAGAGUCCCAUGGAGCCCAGUUUUGAAUGGGCAUAAUAAAGAACCAGAUGUGCAACAAUUACGAAUCAUGAUGAUUCUUUGGGUAAAAUUCAGAGAAGGGUGAAUGUUGAAAGUGCAGACUAAUUCAGGUGUAGUCAAUGCCUACAAUGGUUGUUACUGUUUGUUUUUCUAUCAUAGCUAUACUCCCUGCCAAUUUUCCUGCAACCAAGCAUGCCAGUCCUAAGGUCAAUCCUAGAAUUCAACCUGCUGAACCAAAAGCUCAGCUGAUUCCACAUGCUGUCUUGAAGAUGCCCCACUACUCAACAAAAAAGAGGAAAGUAUUGCAGUCUGAAAGAAGCAUUUCACCUAGCCAAAGGGAGCAUGCAAAGCGCCAUCGGAAGUCUUGUCCUUCAUCCCAGAAAAUGGAUUCUCUGAAAGAAUGGUUUGAUUUUACUUAAGUAGACUGUACCAGCACCCCUCUUGGAGUGAAAGCAGAAUCUUCCAGACCAUUAUAUUGCCCAUUGACAAUUUACUAAGAGUCGCGUGCCCCUGGCUCCCUUAACCAUUCAGAAUUGCUCUUGCCUACAAAGCUUGAACAUAACUUUUGACAUCUUUAAGGAAUCCUUCUCCCCAGACUUAAAGGUCAAUACUGUGGAAAGCCCUCAUUGGGAAAGUGUCCAGAAUGUCUCCAACCAUCAGGACAUGGCGCUUAUACCUAGUGCCUCCAUGCCUGUGUCUACUAUGAAAGGUUCCUCUAUUGCAAGAGCAACAUCUUUGGUUUCCAAAGCAUCGUUACAGAAGAAGAGACACAGCACAAUUUCUAUUUCUCACUUGCCAAGCAGCAGCAUUGGUAGGCUCCAGGGUUGUUCUAAAAUCUUCACAGAUUGUGAAAGCACCAGGAUGUCCAUCUGGCCUCCCUCCAUGGAGAUGACACUAGAAAUUUAUUCUUCCUAGGAAUCAGCAUUCUAUUGUAGGCUUACUCCAUGAAGUUUCUUUCAAGCUGCUACUUGAACAUUUUCUCCCCUGUGGUGCACUGAAGAUAAGUUUUUAAAUGUGUGAACUAAACAAAUAAACUAGGCUGCCAGGACCCUUCUGUAACAUUGUACUGUGAAUAUCCCUAAUAUUGUUUACUGUUGUGACUCAGCAGAAGCUUGCUGUGAGUUGAGUCGGGAUGCAGGAAUAAUGAGC